AUUGAACGCUGGCGGCAGGCCUAACACAUGCAAGUCGAACGGUAACAGGAAGCAGCUUGCUGCUUCGCUGACGAGUGGCGGACGGGUGAGAAAUGUCUGGGAAGCUGCCUGAUGGAGGGGGAUAACUACUGGAAACGGUAGUUAAUACCGCAUAAUUUCGCAAGCCCAAAGAGGGGGAGCUACGGGCCUCUUGCCAUCGGAUGUGCCCAGAUGGGAUUAGCUUGUUGGUGGGGUAACGGCUCACCAAGGCAACGAUCCCUAGCUGGUCUGAGAGGGUGACCAGCCACACUGGAACUGAGACACGGUCCAGACUCCUACGGGAGGCAGCAGUGGGGAAUAUUGCGCAAUGGGCGCAAGCCUGAUGCAGCCACGCCGCGUGUAUGAAGAAGGCCUUCGGGUUGUAAAGUACUUUUAGCGGGGAAGAAGAGAGUAAUGUUAAUACCUUUGCUCAUUGACGUUACCCGCAGAAGAAGCCCCGGCUAACUCCGUG
Molecule: ribosomal RNA, 490 nt
Filed under: uncultured bacterium
Lineage: Bacteria
Description: partial 16S ribosomal RNA
Rfam family: Bacterial small subunit ribosomal RNA
Source: RNAcentral